Molecule: unclassified non-coding RNA, 223 nt
Filed under: Fimbristylis velata
Lineage: Eukaryota; Viridiplantae; Streptophyta; Magnoliopsida; Poales; Cyperaceae
Source: RNAcentral
UUGUUGCCUUUACAAAACACGACCCGUGCACAUGUAAUGUAAAACUGCUGAGGGGGAAUGUUCUCCUCAGCCCUACCGGCCUCAGUCUUCUGUGUCCUUUUAGGACAUGUUGGUUGUUGCACCGGAAAACGGCGCGGAUGGCGCCAAGGAAUAUUAGAUUGCUGAGGUAGAUGACGACUAGCCGUAAGGUGUUGCGUUGUCUGCUAAGGCCAAAGUAAAAAAC